RNAcentral lists this long non-coding RNA (610 nucleotides) under Podarcis lilfordi (Lilford's wall lizard). Lineage: Eukaryota; Metazoa; Chordata; Lepidosauria; Squamata; Lacertidae. The record is from RNAcentral.
UCUCCUGGGCAUAGUCGGCCAAUCAGUGUUAAAAAAGGACAGAACUUUCUUUAUGUAUGCUACAACAGCAGCAAGAAUACUUAUUGCAAAGCAUUGGAAGACACAAGACUUACCCACACUGGAGGAAUGGCAGAUGAAAUUGAUGGACUAUAUGGAAUUGGCGGAAAUGACUGGCAGAAUCCGUGACCAGGGAGAAGAGUCGGUGGAAGAAGAUUGGAAGAAAUUUAAAGACUAUUUACAGAAAUAUUGCAAAAUUAAUGAAUGUUAGAAUGAUGUUGGAUUGAAGUUAAGUGGUUUCUAGCUGUACAGGUACAAAAGAAUAUGGAAAAAUUGGUUCUUAAUAUGUAAAAAUUUAAUGUUAUAAUAUAUCAAGAUUAAAGAUUAGGAUUAAAAAGGAGGGAAAGGAAUUGUUGGAUUAACAAAUUGAAUUGGAAUACAAAAGAGGGAGGUAUGAGGAGGUCUGGGAAACAAGUAAACGUAAAAGAAGUGAUGAAAAGAUGGAAUUGUUUUUAACUGUUUUUUCUUUUUUCUACUUUGUAUUUUUCCUUUUUAUUGUUAAUCUUUUUAUUAAUGUGAUUUUUCUUCUUUUGAAACUUUAAUAAAUAUUAUU